AGGCGAGUAGCUCAAUUGGCCAGAGCACCGGUCUCCAAAACCGGCGGUUGCAGGUUCAACUCCUGCCUCGCCUG
RNAcentral lists this transfer RNA (74 nucleotides) under Candidatus Omnitrophota bacterium. Its description in RNAcentral is "tRNA-Trp". It matches the Rfam family "tRNA". From Rfam's summary of the family: Transfer RNA (tRNA) molecules are approximately 80 nucleotides in length. Lineage: Bacteria; Pseudomonadati; Candidatus Omnitrophota. The record is from RNAcentral.